GCUUGCCCAGAGAUUUCUAGCUCCUAUCUAAUAAAAUACUGCAAGAAAGCAUGCAAGACCCUCUACACUAUUGCAGGGAUAAAUUUGGAGCAUUCGUGCUACAGGGGUGCCAAGGUUCCAGGAGACUAAGUUUCCGUGAAACUUUUUGCCUCAGGACUGUGUUCAAGCUUUUGGGCCUGCCAAGCAGUCUUCACUGGAGUGGGUGUGGCGAUUUAUAUUUUUAUUUAUUUACUUUUUUUUUUUUUGGUGUGUAAUGGUUGAUAUUGGGAACUUAAGUGAAUGAUAUUCCUCCUGAAUUAUACUCAUAUAUGCCUGUAUGUGAGACUCUCAGGAAGCAGAAGCUCUGCUCCUUUGUCUUUGAGUGGGUAAUGUGCUAAGCCACAGAAGGUGGGCGGGUGUUGGAGAGAGAGCCCUGUAGGGUGUUAGGUCUCUCUGGGUAGUUGGUGACCCACACUCUGAGGAGUAGAAGGAGCACAGUGUAGAAUAAAGUGCUAAUAUCAGUGGACUGACGUGACAGUAUUCUUGUUAAAUGUAGUUUUUGUAGCUGUAAUUAUUUACACAGGUCCUGGGACAAUUCAAUACAUGUUACAGUAUGCAGUGAUCAAAUCGUGAUAAUUGCGAAAUAAUCUUCAAAAAACACAAAUGUUUUACAUUUUAACUCAGCACAUUAAAAACAUAUGAUUUGAAAAGAGUAUGUAAUAUUAUGUGAAUGUAUUAAAAUAUUCUUCAGACAUUGGACUGUUCUGAGGUUCUCAGUAAGGUUUUUACUUUCUGUUUGUUUCUAUGUUUAUUGAUAUAAUUAAGAAGUAGAUCUUUUAUAUAAAAUGAAGGGACUUGUAUAUGUUAUUGGUUCACAUUGAGACUUGGAGACAGAUGAUUUAAGAAGAGUCAAGAUGAUCCCAGGAAGGUUGGGAGGACAUCCUGCCAGAGGAGAGUCACAGGCUCAGUGCUGUGAUUCAUUGCUUUGGUUUUCACUGGGAUUUCAGUUUAAGGAGAAUGUUGUGAGUCACUGAUUGAUACAGACAGAACUUGGACACCCUUAACGCCUUGUCAGAUCAAAGUGGGAGCACCUGCUUAGAACCAGCCUGGUGACUUUUCCAUGGCAAGUUUUUGGUGAAUAUUGUUAACUUGAUUUGGUUGAGUUUUCAUUAGAGCAUGAUGAGACCACGGAGUGCUCUUUUAUUUACCAGUUUGUUUUAUUGUCGGUGAACUGUCUUAAUUUCCAAGGUUGUGGGUGUCUUCUCUAUUAAAUAAUAAAAAUUUCCCUCAUUUACCACUACUUUACCUCCUCUUCCCCUCCCUCCCUCCCUCCCUCCCACCCUCCCUCCCUCCCUCCCUCCCUCCCUCCUUCCCUCCCUUUCCCUUCCUUCCUUUCUUGUGCUGUGACACCUUUGUCGUGUGUUAUGUGUAUGUGCAGAUAUAGGGAUGCCAAGGCCUUAAAAGAAAAGCCUCAGGUCCUUACCUGGCCUUCUAAGGUACCAAUCACUAAGUUUCUUUGUUCUUUGCUACUGCACGGCUUUUGCCUGGCUAGUGGACUUGGUAGCUUCUUGGGAUUCUCCUGUGUCAGUCUCCUCUCUCCCCAUAGGAGCCCUGGGGUUACAGAUGGAUGCUACCAAACCCAACUUUUAUGUGGGUUCUGGGAAUUUAAUUAAGGUCCAUCUCCCUGAGUACUUUACUCAGAGGGCCAUCUCCCAAACUCUUCUUUGAUUGAGCAGGAAUUGAAUGCAUGUGUGAAUUGAAAUUGUAUCUCACUUUACCCCAGAUAAUAGAAGGCCCCCUGAGGAGAAAAUAACCACUAGAGACUCUUACAUUGCAAAUUACUUAAAUAUCUGCAACUAAAUGCAAAUGAAAGAGAAUUCCCCUUCAAAUGAGAGAGCAUCUUUAACAAAUGAAGCUAGCUUUGUUGCUGUAAAAGGAAACAAACCACUCUUUUGCUUGAAAUUUAUCAAAAUGAGUUAGAAACUUAGAUGCAUGCAAAACCCUAUGCCAUCCACAGGCUGCAGGCCUGCUGCUUCAAGUCUACACAGGAAGAUUAUUUUUUUGUAGGAAACAUUCGCACAGCUUUGUUCUGGUACUUUACAGACAUUAACUCUUGUUGGAUGGUAUUAUACAUGCUAAACAAAUGAAGAACUUGAGGCACAAAGAAAAGGUGAGGUGGGAGUGGGGGUGGAGUGGGCCCCAGUGUUGCCCAUCUUACCCCUGGUCAAUUCUGAGCACAGUGAACCAUUGGUACUAAAGAGAAACAUGGCACUGGUCAGCAAUGCUCUUUGGGAUUGGUCCUAAUGGACUGGUGAACUUGGAAUGCUUGCCUGUUAUCCUGUAUGCUGUGUCAUGCGUCUUUUAUGUUAUAAGGUGAAGCAUUACGUAUCUGGAAGUCACCUAGAUUUUAAUGCUUAACAGACAGACCUACUUUUGCAUCCUGACUGCCAUUUAGUUGUUAUUACUUGAGCUGUCAGGGAUGGAAUCAAUAGUGAGUAGCUAUGGGACAGGCUAAGCCACAGAGAAGGCAUUCAGUAGGUGGGGUGAUGUGCCAAACACUGUAAUUAGUGUGGUCAAACUAGAAGUCUCAUGACAAAGGAGAAACACAUGCAUAUCUGAUUUUAGCAUCAUUUCAUCAAGCAUAGUAAGACCUGUACCAUAGGGAAGUGGCAAAGUCAAAAUCCUUGCCCAACUUGUAUUUGCGAAUAGUAUGUCAGGUAGACCUGGAAUAAUUAGGUCCUAUAAAUAAUAAUGAAAAAUUUCCUCAUUUCCAGUUAUUGAUUGUAUUGGCUAUUGUGCUCUCAUUAUGUGUUGAUUAUCAACAAUGACUAAGAUAAUAGCAAUGGCUUUCAAAUUCAAUUGAUAAGUUAUAUUUGGGAGCAGCCUAGAUGUUUGUCAGCAUGGGUACUGUUUGUGUGUAUGUGAGUUUAAGUGGUCGCACCUCUGGUGUCUGUCUGUACCUAUGUUCCUGAAUGAGGUGGGCUGGGCCAGCCUGCUGGAGAGCAGUCUUUUCCUCUCAAGAGGCAGUAGGAAGCUGUCCACUUCUGAUGGUGCUGACUCCUGCAGCGAAGAAGACAACAGGUAGCUGAAGCUGACAGGGAUGUGGGUGUGGGCGGAGGGGAGUUGGGAUUCUCUACCGGUCAGAAACAAAAACCGAAACAAACUCGUGAAGAGGCCCUGUGGCGGCGAUCCCUGGGUUAGAAGAAUUUGUCUUUGUUUAAAGCUGCGAGUUUAGAUUCUUCACCAGGCUCGUCUUCCAGCACUGAUGUGUGAUGUGUGUAAGGGAAAAGGGACAGCCUGCAUUUGCCAGUGUAUGGUGGCCACUGAGAACUAUCUAUGGGUUGAAUGAAAGAGUCUUUGAAAGAUUUUUACUUCUGCUGGACACAGUGUUCUACCAGAGUGUGAAAUUUCUCGAGUUCAUCACAAGCUUAUGGUUGAUCGUGAGCCAGUUCUCCAAGAUCAGUGCACACAGCACCCAGAGCCCUGUCACCGGAAAUCAGGACUUGAGAAGAUGGGUGCGUUUGUGCAUAUUUGGAGGGUAGAGUUAUUUUUGUACAUGUGUGUGCCUGUGUGUGUGUAUGCAUAUAUGUGUGAGUGUGUAUGUGUAUGCAUGUGUGUGCGUUUGUCUGAUUAAACUUGCUGUGGAACCUUGGCAAACACAUAUGUGACCUGACCUGAACAAACUGUUGUCCCUUGUUCAAACGGUCAUUUCAUUUUCACAAGGUAAAGGAUUGCUUACAUUUGCUGAUGUUUAUUAUAUAAUAUGAAGUACAGUAUAACAAAAAUAUUAAUCUACCAACAGUAUAAUUUUCUAAGAAAGAAAACCAGGUUACGGUGUGUAAAAUCGGGUCUGUGGUAAACCGCAUAGGACUGUACAUCUUUCCUGUUUUGGAAGGAGUCAGAACUUGGUGUUUUAUAUAAUUUCAGAGGACCAUCCAAGAAAUUAUUAGAAUUGACUUUUACAUGUAGUAUGUUGAACUAAUAUUAGAAUUUCAUGUAGCCAUAGUUAAUUUCAAGUACUUUUUGAUAAAAACC
Molecule: long non-coding RNA, 4014 nt
Filed under: Mus musculus (house mouse)
Lineage: Eukaryota; Metazoa; Chordata; Mammalia; Rodentia; Muridae
Description: long non-coding RNA chr3:136727094-136731108
Source: RNAcentral